AAUUGCUUUUUUUUUUCCAAAUGAACUUUCAUAUUUACAUAUGUAAUGUCCCGCGAGCUUAUUUUCUAUCCUUCCUAUUUCUCAACACGGCCUCUGCGCGUAUCGAAAUAACACGAGAAAUUAAUCAAGAUCAGGGUAUUCGCCGGCUGCCUGGGAUUGAACCCGCGACCAGCGUGACGGGAGAGCCACUCCUUACCGAGUCGGCCAAAGAGGUACCCCACUGGCUAAGUGGGUUAUGGGAGGCUCGUUCAUCAGGCCGUCGCCGCACUACACAUAUAUGUUGCAUAUGUUAUGUCACUGGUUCCCAACCUUUUUUUCAGGCGACCCCAAUCAUUCACUUCUAUACAUGACUGCGACCCCACUAGUUUAGUUAUAUAGGCGGUGGCUGAGUGGUUAGCGUGCGGGCCCCACAUUCACCGCGUGAUGGACGACACGGGUUCGAAUCCCCCGCUACCACCUGGGAUAUUUCAGUCGCUGCCGAGUGGCUUAAAACUACCCACUUGCUGACCUGAAUACCGCCCAUCAACCCAGACUCUACAGGAAACCGUCCAAGUGAAUCAAGAACAAGUUCUGGGGGGCAGCAAGAAAAGGAUGGCGCAACUAUAAAACACUUGCCUGCGCCAUGAUGGGCUGGGGCCGACUAUCAUCCAGGCCCCUCAAGAAAGCCUACCGGCACAAUAGGGUGAUACGUAAAAAAAAAAAAAAAAAAAAAAAAAAUGUGUUAUUAUAAUAUAAUAACACCAUCUUCGAUAUUUUGAGAUCUUGGCAACCCCAGGGUUGGGAAUGGGGUGUUAUGUGAAGUGGCAUGGGAGGGGGGGGCAGUGCCAGCAGACUAGACAAAAGCCAUCAUUGUUCCAGUUUACAAGGGAAAAGGCAGGAGAGGGGAGUGUGGGUGCCAUAGGGGUAUAAGUCUGCUGAGUGUACCUGGAAAGGUAUAUGGAAAAGUCAUAAUAGAGAGGGUGCAAAGGCUUACAGAAGAGAAAAUCAGUGAAGAACAAGGAGGCUUCAGGAACUUUGAACAGGCAAGGAGGGAGUGUCUGGAUAGAGAAAAAUGGAAACUCUUCUGCCGUGGCCAUCCCCUGGUGGGAGCUCCUAGGAACAGGCAUCAAAGAUUAAUGAAAAUGUUGCAGCAGGGUUUACAGAGGCACUUAGAUAAAUUUCAUGAUUGAAACCAAUAGUGAAGUGUAAAAUUCAAUGGCAAGUGCUGUUUAUUAGACAUGGAAAUCAAUUCUCUAUUGCUAAGAGGAAAUUAUAAAAUGAAGAACAAGAAAAAGAAUGAAAUGGUCAUAUUAGAUAACUUAUCAGCAAAGUAUCACAUAUAAGUUCAGACUGAUAAUCAGUAUCAAUUUGACUUACACUGUGGAACAUCAGUUCUCGUACUUGAUAGUUCCUAAAAAGCUGUUCAGAAACCAAUUUCUUCGAAAAUCAAAACCAUAGUUCCCCUAAGAAUUCAUGAGAGAGAGAGAGAGAGAGAGAGAGAGAGAGAGAGAGAGAGAGAGAGAGAGAGAGAGAGAGAGAGAGAGAGAGA
Long non-coding RNA from Eriocheir sinensis (Chinese mitten crab), 1528 nucleotides. RefSeq lists it as uncharacterized. The transcript is spliced from 2 exons. The record is from RefSeq and is a predicted model, not a curated record. NCBI's taxonomy places the organism in Eukaryota, Metazoa, Arthropoda, Malacostraca, Decapoda, Varunidae.